UUCCGGUUGAUCCUGCCGGACCCUACUGCCAUCGGGAUGGGACUAAGCCAUGCAAGUCGUGCGUCUCCAAGCUAUGGUGGAGACGCGGCGCACAGCUCAGUAACACGUGGCUAACCUACCCUUGGGACGGGGAUAACCCCGGGAAACUGGGGCUAAUCCCCGAUAGGAGAGAAGACCUGGAAUGGCUUCUCUCCGAAAGGGUGUUAAGGCCAUGCUCCUUAACACCGCCCAAGGAUGGGGCCGCGGCCGAUCAGGUAGUUGGUGAGGUAACGGCUCACCAAGCCUAUAACCGGUACGGGCUGUGAGAGCAGGAGCCCGGAGAUGGGCACUGAGACAAGGGCCCAGGCCCUACGGGGCGCAGCAGGCGCGAAAACUCCGCAAUACGCGAAAGCGUGACGGGGCCAUCCCGAGUGCCAUCCGCUGAGGAUGGCUUUUCUCCGGUGUAAGGAGCCGGAGGAAUAAGGAGAGGGCAAGUCUGGUGUCAGCCGCCGCGGUAAUACCAGCUCUCCGAGUGGUAGGGACGGUUAUUGGGCCUAAAGCGUCCGUAGCCGGCUUGGCAAGUCUCCCGUUAAAUCCAGCGAUCUAAUCGCUGGGCUGCGGGAGAUACUGUCAGGCUAGGGGGCGGGAGAGGCCGACGGUACUCCCGGGGUAGGGGUAAAAUCCUAUAAUCCCGGGAAGACCACCAGUGGCGAAGGCGGUCGGCUAGAACGCGCCCGACGGUGAGGGACGAAAGCUGGGGGAGCGAACCGGAUUAGAUACCCGGGUAGUCCCAGCCGUAAACGAUGCGGGCUAGGUGUUGGAGCGGCUACGAGCCGCUCCAGUGCCGCAGGGAAACCAUUAAGCCCGCCGCCUGGGGAGUACGGCCGCAAGGCUGAAACUUAAAGGAAUUGGCGGGGGAGCACCACAAGGGGUGAAGCUUGCGGUUUAAUUGGAUUCAACGCCGG
Molecule: ribosomal RNA, 944 nt
Filed under: uncultured archaeon
Lineage: Archaea
Description: bacterial SSU rRNA
Rfam family: Archaeal small subunit ribosomal RNA
Source: RNAcentral